Molecule: ribosomal RNA, 583 nt
Filed under: Yamadazyma membranifaciens
Lineage: Eukaryota; Fungi; Ascomycota; Pichiomycetes; Serinales; Debaryomycetaceae
Description: LSU rRNA
Rfam family: Eukaryotic large subunit ribosomal RNA
Source: RNAcentral
AUUAAGCAUAUCAAUAAGCGGAGGAAAAGAAACCAACAGGGAUUGCCUUAGUAGCGGCGAGUGAAGCGGCAAUAGCUCAAAUUUGAAAUCUGGCACCUUCGGUGUCCGAGUUGUAAUUUGAAGAAGGUAUCUUUGGUUUUGGCUCUUGUCUAUGUUCCUUGGAACAGGACGUCACAGAGGGUGAGAAUCCCGUGCGAUGAGAUGCCCAAUUCCAUGUAAAGUUCCUUCGACGAGUCGAGUUGUUUGGGAAUGCAGCUCUAAGUGGGUGGUAAAUUCCAUCUAAAGCUAAAUAUUGGCGAGAGACCGAUAGCGAACAAGUACUGUGAAGGAAAGAUGAAAAGAACUUUGAAAAGAGAGUGAAAAAGUACGUGAAAUUGUUGAAAGGGAAGGGCUUGAGAUUAGACUUGGAAUUUUCCAUUUAUGGAGCUUUCCGGGCCAGCAUCAGUUUGGAUGGCAGGAUAAUUGCGUUGGAAAGUAGCACCACUUCGGUGGUGUGUUAUAGACUUCGUCGAUACUGCCUAUCUAGACUGAGGACCGCGUCUUUGACUAGGAUGCUGGCGUAAUGAUCUUAAGCCGCCCGUCU